CCAACGAGUUACGUUAAGUAGCAAGGUUAAGCACUUAAGGUGCGGAGCCGUAGCGAAAGCGAGUUUUAACUGAGCGUUCAGUUACUUGACGUAGACCCGAAACCGGGCGACCUACCCAUGAGCAGGAUGAAGCGAAAGUAAAAUUUCGUGGAGGUCCGAACCCACGAGCGUUGAAAAGCUCGGGGAUGACUUGUGGGUAGCGGUGAAAUUCCAAUCGAGCCCGGAGAUAGCUGGUUCUCCCCGAAAUAGCUUUAGGGCUAGCCUCAAGGUGAGAGAUACGGAGGUAGAGCACUGAAUGUCCUAGGGGGUAUUGCACCUACCGAAGACUAUCAAACUCCGAAUGCCGUCAUCUUAUACUUGGGAGUCAGACUGUGGGUGAUAAGAUUCAUAGUCGAAAGGGCAACAGCCCAGAUCGUCAGCUAAGGUCCCUAAAUGUAAGUUAAGUGGUAAAGGAUGUGGGAUUGCACAGACAACCAGGAUGUUGGCUUAGAAGCAGCCACUCAUUCAAAGAGUGCGUAAUAGCUCACUGGUCGAGUGAUCCUGCGCCGAAGAUUUCCGGGGCUAAAACUUACUACCGAAGCUACGGCAUCAGUAAUGAUGGGUAGGGGAGCUUCCCAUACGGGUUGAAGCAUGACCGUAAGGACAUGUGGACAGUAUGGGAGUGAGAAUGUUGGCAUGAGUAGCGAGAUGUGGGUGAGAAUCCCACAGGCCGUAAACCCAAGGUUUCCAGGGGAAGGUUCGUCCGCCCUGGGUUAGUCGGGACCUAAGCUGAGGCCGAAAGGCGUAGGUGAUGGACAACAGGUUGAUAUUCCUGUACUACCGAUAACCGUUUGAGAGAAGGGAUGACACAGUAGGAUAAGCUAAGCACACUGUUGGUUAUGUGUGCCCAAGCAUUGAGGCAGUCAAAGUAGGCAAAUCCGCUUUGAUAAUGCUGGGAUGUGAUGGGGAGCGAAAUUUAGUAGCGAAGUAGCUGAUUUCACACUGUCAAGAAAAGUCUCUAUCGAGGUUAAAGGUACCCGUACCGCAAACCGACACAGGUGGGUGAGGAGAGUAUCCUAAGGCCAGCGAGAGAACUGUUGUUAAGGAACUCGGCAAAAUGACCCCGUAACUUAGGGAUAAGGGGUGCCACCAUCAGGUGGCCGCAGAGAAUAGGCCCAAGCGACUGUUUACCAAAAACAUAGGUUUCUGCUAAGUCGCAAGACGAUGUAUAGGAGCUGACGCCUGCCCGGUGCUGGAAGGUUAAGGGGAUCUGUUAGAGCAAUCGAAGCAGUGAACUUAAGCCCCAGUAAACGGCGGCCGUAACUAUAACGGUCCUAAGGUAGCGAAAUUCCUUGUCGGGUAAGUUCCGACCCGCACGAAAGGCGUAACGAUUUGGGCACUGUCUCAACAACAGACUCGGUGAAAUUGUAAUUCCGGUGAAGAUGCCGGAUACCUGCGACAGGACGGAAAGACCCCAUGGAGCUUUACUGUAGCUUGACAUUGGGUCUUGGUACUACAUGUACAGGAUAGGUGGGAGGCUUUGAAACCAGGACGCCAGUUUUGGCGGAGCCAUCCUUGGGAUACCACCCUUGUAGUACUGGGACUCUAACCAUAGGCCAUGAAUCUGGUCUUGGGACACUGUCAGGUGGGCAGUUUGACUGGGGCGGUCGCCUCCCAAAAGGUAACGGAGGCGCUCAAAGGUUCUCUCAGUACGGUCGGAAAUCGUACGUAGAGUGUAAAGGCAAAAGAGAGCUUGAUUGCAAGACAUACAGGUCGAGCAAGGAUGAAAAUCGGACUUAGUGAUCCGGUGGUUCUGCGUGGAAGGGCCAUCGCUCAACGGAUAAAAGCUACCCUGGGGAUAACAGGCUUAUCUCCCCCAAGAGUCCACAUCGACGGGGAGGUUUGGCACCUCGAUGUCGGCUCAUCACAUCCUGGGGCUGUAGUAGGUCCCAAGGGUUGGGCUGUUCGCCCAUUAAAGUGGUACGCGAGCUGGGUUCAGAACGUCGUGAGACAGUUCGGUCCCUAUCCGUCGCAGGCGUAGGAAAUUUGAGAAGACCUGUCCUUAGUACGAGAGGACCGGGAUGGACGUACCUCUGGUGUACCAGUUGU
This 2088-nucleotide ribosomal RNA is filed under the name Clostridioides difficile. RNAcentral describes it as "bacterial LSU rRNA". It matches the Rfam family "Bacterial large subunit ribosomal RNA", at positions 620 to 2724 of the family's 2925-position model. Lineage: Bacteria; Bacillati; Bacillota; Clostridia; Peptostreptococcales; Peptostreptococcaceae. The record is from RNAcentral.